AAGUCGUAACAAGGUCUCCGUUGGUGAACCAGCGGAGGGAUCAUUACCGAGUUCUUACAGAACCCAACCCUUGUGUGAUAAGCUCUCACCCAGCUUUUACACGGGAGUCUCGGCCUAAUCGCCGAGGCAGUGUAAAAAAAAAACCUCUGUAUCAUUAUCACAAAUUUCUGAAGACUUUUUAAGAGUCAAAACUUUCAACAACGGAUCUCUUGGUUCUG
This 218-nucleotide unclassified non-coding RNA is filed under the name Podospora sp. RNAcentral's name for it is "partial internal transcribed spacer region". The stretch from base 1 to 46 matches the Rfam family "Eukaryotic small subunit ribosomal RNA", at positions 1786 to 1831 of the family's 1831-position model. The record is from RNAcentral. Lineage: Eukaryota; Fungi; Ascomycota; Sordariomycetes; Sordariales; Podosporaceae.